UACGUAGGGUGCAAGCGUUGUCCGGAAUUAUUGGGCGUAAAGAGCUCGUAGGCGGUCUGUCGCGUCGAAUGUGAAAACCCGGGGCUCAACCCCGGGCCUGCAUUCGAUACGGGCAGACUAGAGUUCGGUAGGGGAGUCUGGAAUUCCUGGUGUAGCGGUGAAAUGCGCAGAUAUCAGGGGGAACACCGGUGGCGAAGGCGGGACUCUGGGCCGAUACUGACGCUGAGGAGCGAAAGCGUGGGGAGCAAACAGG
Molecule: ribosomal RNA, 253 nt
Filed under: uncultured bacterium
Lineage: Bacteria
Description: partial 16S ribosomal RNA
Rfam family: Bacterial small subunit ribosomal RNA
Source: RNAcentral